CUGAACUCUUGUCCCACAUCGAAAAUGUAGUGGUUUUAAGCAGCUUUGGAGUACUAUAUAUUAAGGUAGCUGAUGAAGGAAGAAAUUCACGCAGCCACGCAGUGGGCACAAAGCGAACUAUUCUUUCGCCUUUUACUAAAGAAUACCGUGUGCACGUUGCAAAUAGUGGCAUACGCCAAUUUUUGGAGGGAGAUCGAAGAGCAC
This is a long non-coding RNA of Ipomoea nil (Japanese morning glory), 204 nucleotides long. RefSeq lists it as uncharacterized. The record is from RefSeq and is a predicted model, not a curated record. Lineage: Eukaryota; Viridiplantae; Streptophyta; Magnoliopsida; Solanales; Convolvulaceae. The transcript is spliced from 3 exons.